RNAcentral lists this long non-coding RNA (1271 nucleotides) under Canis lupus familiaris (dog). RNAcentral's name for it is "lncRNA (ENSCAFG00805022527.1, ENSCAFG00845025302.1)". The record is from RNAcentral. Lineage: Eukaryota; Metazoa; Chordata; Mammalia; Carnivora; Canidae.
AUGCAUCUUCUCUUAAAAAUUUUGAUUUGCUCGUUGAAUGAUUACAAAUGGACUAGAGAGCAUCCAACAGGAUCAUUAUGUCAGACCUUAGUCCAUCCCAAAUUAUUCUUGGUGGAAGCCCUGAAGAGUCAAUGGUGGCGAGGUUUGGGAACCUCCGGGGUUAAGGGUCACCUGGAGGAUUGGAUACAUGGCAGAUUACUGCUUUUUGCAGUUACAGGUUCUCUCCUGGCUAGAGGAGGAAUGCGAGAUGGUCUGUGGAAUGACAGGGUAAACUCCUGGUCCGGGGUUCGUCUCCAGAAUCAAACCGUCUGGGAGCACUGCCCGGGAAUCUGCACUGAGACAAGAACCUUGGUGAUCCUUCUAAGCAAAGGUAUGAGAGCGCCAUGCUGCUGAGGAACAGAUGGAGGCCACCUCCGCAGGCGGCAAGGAGGAAGACAGUGGUCCCAUUUUCUUAGUAGUAUUGCUUCAAAGAGAAAUGGUAUUGUUUUCAUGCUUAACCCCAGCUCUCAUAAAUUAAAUUUGCCUGGCAUUGUUAAAGUAUUUAGGGACUCUAUGUUAACACAACACACUUUCUUAAAUAUUCGUGUGCAUCUGUCUUAGUUGGGCUCUCAGUAUUUAAGGGCAGCUCAUGUCUUACUUGUCUUUCUGGAGCCAUGCCUCACAGCAUCUGCCCCUUAUAUACAUCCCCUAAAGGACUGACAUUUGUGUGUUGGAAGGGACAUCUUCAUGAGAAAUGCCAGCUGAUCUUCAUGUUAGUUACCUUUGGUUUAAAAGCCUAUUUUUUUCCACCCAAGAUGAGAUGAAAACUUUGACUUCUUUAUUCUACAUCUUGAAAAAAAUCCAGGUGCUAGAGGCUGAUUGUAUAUCUUUUCUACAACCUGAAUUUCCACACGUACAGUAACACCCCCACAUCACUUUGCCUACAUCAAGUUUGGGUGUUUGAAUGCCAGCUGAUGAGUGCUGAUUUUAAACUCUCCUGCUUAAAAUUUAUUUAUUUAUUUUUCCCUGAGAGUGCUCACUUUCUGGUUCCCAGUAGUUGGAUUUCUCUUUCUAUUCUGGUGGGCCUAAAAGCCUCAGAAAUGCUUUUGUUUGUGCGUUGUUUAGAGAAGGGGAAGAAAUGACUGGCUUUUAUCUACAAUCUAUGUCCGAUAAAGAUUGCUUUGCCAUAAAAGAAGCAAACAAUAAAAAACCACAAGUGCAAGAUGCUAAGUCUUAAAGUAUUCCCACUGAACCAAACCAAACCAAAACAAGUUGGUGUAGAGAGUUGACAG